Molecule: ribosomal RNA, 489 nt
Filed under: uncultured bacterium
Lineage: Bacteria
Description: bacterial SSU rRNA
Rfam family: Bacterial small subunit ribosomal RNA
Source: RNAcentral
GGUUCAGGAUGAACGCUGGCGGCGUGCUUAACACAUGCAAGUCGAACGAAGCAACUAUCUUGCUUGCAAGAGAGUUGACUUAGUGGCGGACGGGUGAGUAACGCGUGGGUAACCUGCCUCAUACAGGGGGAUAACAGUUGGAAACGACUGCUAAGACCGCAUAACCCGCUAGUGUCGCAUGACACGGAUGGAAAAUAUUUAUAGGUAUGAGAUGGGCCCGCGUCUGAUUAGCUAGUUGGUAAGGUAACGGCUUACCAAGGCGACGAUCAGUAGCCGACUUGAGAGAGUGAUCGGCCACAUUGGGACUGAGACACGGCCCAAACUCCUACGGGAGGCAGCAGUGGGGAAUAUUGGACAAUGGGGGAAACCCUGAUCCAGCGAACCGCCGCGUGAGUGAAGAAGUAUUUCGGUAUGUAAAGCUCUAUCAGCAGGGAAGAUAAUGACAGUACCUGACUAAGAAGCCCCGGCUAACUACGUGCCAGCAGCGGC